This 384-nucleotide ribosomal RNA is filed under the name uncultured Methanosaeta sp. RNAcentral describes it as "bacterial SSU rRNA". It matches the Rfam family "Archaeal small subunit ribosomal RNA", at positions 955 to 1338 of the family's 1478-position model. The record is from RNAcentral. Lineage: Archaea; Methanobacteriati; Methanobacteriota; Methanomicrobia; Methanotrichales; Methanotrichaceae.
CAGGCUGAAGACCUUACCCGAUUAGCUGAGAGGUGGUGCAUGGCCGUCGUCAGUUCGUACUGUGAAGCAUCCUGUUAAGUCAGGCAACGAGCGAGACCCACGUCCACAGUUGCCAGCAUACCCUCCGGGGUGAUGGGUACACUGUGGAGACCGCCGCUGCUAAAGCGGAGGAAGGAGUGGGCAACGGUAGGUCAGUAUGCCCCGAAUCUCCCGGGCUACACGCGGGCUACAAUGGUUAGUACAAUGGGCAUCUACCCCGAAAGGGGAAGGAAAUCUCUUAAAGCCAAUCGUAGUUCGGAUUGAGGGCUGCAACUCGCCCUCAUGAAGCUGGAAUCCGUAGUAAUCGCGUUUCAACAGAACGCGGUGAAUACGUCCCUGCUCCUU